CUCCGUCUAUGUCAUUCCAGUCGAUGAGUUGUGAACUUAACUAUUCUGUUUCCUGGUGUAUGAAGCUUUGGUCUCUAUAUUGCAUGUGCUAUUCUCUAUAGGAGUUGACGCAAGCCGGAGGUAUCUUCCAAGUAUGGAAGCCUCGCCUUAUCUUUAUUCAAAGGAGCUCUGAUGUAGUCAACAUGCAUUGUUUUGUUCUUGUUUUUUUUUGUUUCUUUUGAUCUGGCCGUUCCUUAUUCAAUUUAGAUUGGUAAAAUUAAAGAUCGUUUUAUCACUCUGUUGAUCAUUGUUUCCCAUGUGUGAGCUGUUGUUUCUGGGUACCUUUUGUUUGGUUCGUCGGACUGUUCUUACCGGGAUUAGUGGUAGUCGCCAGUGUUUAAAAUAGUGUUUAAUCAUAAUGUAUCUUGUGUUUGUUAAUCAUAAUGAAAAUAGUGUUUAAAAAAUUUAUUAGUAUCUAAUCUAUUAAUUUAAGGUUCUAUUUUUAUCUACCAUUAGCAAGUCAUAUUAGGACCACUUAAAGAAAUAGUUAAUAUGACAUAUUUGAUUAUUUACAUUAAUAAUAAACCAACUAUAAAUUUGAAUUUU
RNAcentral lists this long non-coding RNA (585 nucleotides) under Brassica rapa (field mustard). RNAcentral describes it as "long non-coding RNA (BRAP_LNC007152)". Lineage: Eukaryota; Viridiplantae; Streptophyta; Magnoliopsida; Brassicales; Brassicaceae. The record is from RNAcentral.